UCCCUGGGGGAUUAGUGGUUAGGCCACGGCGGUCUCACUGCCACAGCCCGGGUUCAAUUCCCAGCCAGGUAA
Molecule: transfer RNA, 72 nt
Filed under: Pangasianodon gigas (Mekong giant catfish)
Lineage: Eukaryota; Metazoa; Chordata; Actinopteri; Siluriformes; Pangasiidae
Description: tRNA-Glu
Source: RNAcentral